Molecule: ribosomal RNA, 254 nt
Filed under: uncultured bacterium
Lineage: Bacteria
Description: partial 16S ribosomal RNA
Rfam family: Bacterial small subunit ribosomal RNA
Source: RNAcentral
UACGUAGGGGGCAAGCGUUGUCCGGAUUUAUUGGGCGUAAACGGCGUGUAGGUGGCCACGCCAAGUCGGAUGUGAAAUCUCCCGGCUCAACUGGGAGGGGUCAUUCGAUACUGGUGGGCUCGAGGCCGGUAGGGGGAAGUGGAAUUCCCGGUGUAGUGGUGGAAUGCGUAGAUAUCGGGAGGAACACCAGUGGCGAAGGCGGCUUCCUGGACCGGUUCUGACACUGAGGAGCGAAAGCGUGGGGAGCGAUCCGG